GGUGGUGCAGCUCAGUGGUAGAGCACACGCUUAGCACGCACUAGGUCCCGGGUUCAAUCCCCAGUACCUCUA
This 72-nucleotide transfer RNA is filed under the name Camelus bactrianus (Bactrian camel). It matches the Rfam family "tRNA". From Rfam's summary of the family: Transfer RNA (tRNA) molecules are approximately 80 nucleotides in length. Their secondary structure includes four short double-helical elements and three loops (D, anti-codon, and T loops). The record is from Rfam by way of RNAcentral. Lineage: Eukaryota; Metazoa; Chordata; Mammalia; Artiodactyla; Camelidae. RNAcentral also lists the same sequence under 2 other names.